UUUGACUCCUCGUCUUAUUUAAAUUUUUUUUACAAUUAAUAUUUUUGUUUUUAUUAGAUGAUAAAUCAUAAAUAGUAUUUUACGUGUGAUUAAUUUUUUUCUAGUUUUUUAAAAAUUUUCAAAUAAGACGGAUGAUCAAA
Molecule: microRNA precursor, 140 nt
Filed under: Oryza brachyantha (malo sina)
Lineage: Eukaryota; Viridiplantae; Streptophyta; Magnoliopsida; Poales; Poaceae
Description: MIR812 microRNA precursor family
Rfam family: MIR812 microRNA precursor family
Source: Rfam by way of RNAcentral